Nylanderia fulva is the source of this 993-nucleotide long non-coding RNA. RefSeq lists it as uncharacterized. The record is from RefSeq and is a predicted model, not a curated record. Lineage: Eukaryota; Metazoa; Arthropoda; Insecta; Hymenoptera; Formicidae.
UUUCAGAAGUCAGACGUGACUUCGUUACUGUCGUAGUAUCAUUGUUACACGUGUGUUAAACGAAUCUAGAGACAAUCUAUUUAAAUGACAUCUGGUAAAGUAAAUAAAUUAUAAGGAAAGUAAUACAGUAUCGCGAUAUUGAUAACGCAAGCAACGCAGUAAAUUUGGAUAAGAACAAUUGUGAUAUCGAAUCUUAUUGAUAAAUUUUGUUAUAAAAUCGUUAGAUAUUUACGAUGCAUUUCAUUAAAUUAACGCACAGUUUAAAGCAAGUUUUAUAUUCGUUUGCUGCUAUUAUUAAUUUCUUUCUAUGCUUAUCAGUAAUACUACCAAUUAGUAAAGCGCAUAUUGAAUUUUAUACGAAAAGUACUACUGAAGAAAAUGUACCAUCUGAUGAUAUUAAUAAAAUAUAUUUAAAUGCAUCUUGGAAACAAAUUGGAGAAAUAAUGUUGGAUGUAUUCAUAGUAUUGGCUUUAUUUAUCUUAUCAAUUUUUGUUUUGACAAUUACUUUACUUGCUUGUGAAGUGUACUGUCCAGAUCGUAUUACGCCCAUCAUAGAAUUCAUAGAUGGCUUAGGUAUAAGACACAGGUUGAGAAAUCACUUCCGCCGGCUCUUUCGCGUGCGUCGAGAGCCUCGUCGUCCGUCACAUUUGAUCGUUCAUUUUAAUGCAGGCCCCCACGUAAAUAAUAUUUGAAUCGUCAGAUGAAGAAGAAGUAGAACGUUAUUAAUUUGGAAAGUUAACAUGGAUGGUUUGUACACGUUAUGUAGUAAAAUAUUACUUAUUUAUGAUACUAGUAAGAUCUCGUAAGUAUGUUAUCAUGUUCGAAUCUCAAUUUCAAGUUAUUCUGAUAAUGCGUACGUUGCUCCACGAUUAAUUGUUAAGCAAGAAAAUAUAUAUUAUACAUAAUUAUGUAAUAAUAUAAUCACAAUGAGAGGAAUAUGUGAUAAUUAAUAAGAAUUCAUAUAUACAAUUCAUAAAAUUUAAAAGCUAUUCA